Cygnus olor (mute swan) is the source of this 2205-nucleotide long non-coding RNA. RefSeq lists it as uncharacterized. Lineage: Eukaryota; Metazoa; Chordata; Aves; Anseriformes; Anatidae. The transcript is spliced from 4 exons. The record is from RefSeq and is a predicted model, not a curated record.
UUUAACAUUUAAAAUGUGCUUGAUUUCCUGUCAUAGCUCUUGUUACUUCUGCCUACCUCUUGUGACAGUGUUUUAGACUGACUUCCCACAGGAGCUUACAAAUCAAGCAGGUUAAUGUCUUCAUUAAAACUGAAUAACAGUUUACUUUGGGAAAAAAAAAAAACAUAUUAAAUAUUUCAGGAUAUUGAACACCAAACUACUAUUAAGCUUUAACUAAUGCAUUUACUUUGCUGACACUUGCUCUCCGAUGGGACAUGUAGCUCAAGUUAACGUCACAAGAAGUGAUGUUUAAGGCUUCAAGAGGAAGUGUUUCCAACCCCUUCUAGAUGAUUUUACUCCAAUUCUAUCGCUCUGUACUUGAGAAAAAGUUUUAAAUAAGUUAUUUCAGCAACUUGCCAUCCUUAUUUUGGAAACGUUCUGGGUAUAGAUGUCCCCUCUAAAGUCUGAAAUAACCCUUUCUAUGUCCUAGAUAUAUAUGUGGUAUGUUGUGUAAAGAAAGUGACAGCCUGUUGGCCUCAGGACACGUAAAGAAUGUCCUUAGUACGCUUUGCCUUUGGGAGGAAAAUACAAAGAUUGUCACAAACGGGAAGUCACGUUCACAACGCUUCUGUCACCAGUGCUUGUAAACCCACCUCAAGGUGCCACUGAUGUAGUGGAAGUGGAUCAGCAGAACAGAAGUGGAGGCACGUGGCCAGAACUCUGUCUUGUAUUGCAUCCUGGGCUGAGUGUGUGGACGAUGCAAGCUGGAUGAUGGAGAAGGAAGCAGGGAAUGUGCCUAUGGCACAUAAAGAUACCUGAUUCUCUCAUAAGCUGCAGUUAAUAUCAAUAAACUUUUCAGACUCGGAUAAUCUCCUUUGGAAAAAGGGUGUCUUCACGUUUCUGGACAACUACAGGAGAAGCAGUUUAAGGGCAAAAAAGCAGAAAAUAAUGAACGAUAAGACUGAGAGAUUUGAGCAUAUUGAGGGAGAAGAGACGCAAACCAGAUUUUGCAGCAUCACAGCGCACACUUUAUACAAUGCUAUGCAACAGAGGGAAGUUGCAACGGGUGGCAGAAGGCAAUCUCCAGAAGGCCUGGGAGAGGAGCAGGAAUUCCAGUUUUUGAGCUGAAUUCAGCCGUCCUGCUGCUGCCAAACCUCCGAGCAGGGAGGGGGAGAUGUGGAUGUAAGAAGCAGCACGUAUAUCAGUAUCAGUGCUUGCAGUACAACAGCCCCCGUGCCUGAGGACAGCGAGUGCAACUAAGGACAACGUGGAAUUUAUAAGAGUACCUCACAUGUUGAGAUGCUUUAUAGUCCCCCCUGUGAAUAGCCUAGCAAAAACCAUAUGUGAAAUAUAAAUAUACUGGGACUUAAAAACCAGAGCUGUAUUCCAGCCUUUUAAGUUAAUUUUAUAACAUGCUGCAUCCGAGGGCUUAAUGUGUGUUGUAUGCAGUGCUAGCCGACUAGCACGGGACUUAAUAAAAGCAGUAUGUACUGGAGACACCAGAGGGGCUGGUGGAAAAUGGGGAAAGAAGAUGGUGGAAAUAUCACAUUUUAGCGAAAGAAAGAAUCCAGUUUAAACCAACUGGCUGCUUGUUUCCUUCAGUCAAAAUGCAACAAUGAACUCCUGUUGUCAUGCUGAGUCAGUUGGCAGUGACUCAUUUUAUCAGUCUCAAAAUUGUCCGGCAUUUCAUCAGAACUGGAUUACACAAUGGGUUUUUCCUUUUCCCCCUUUUUUUUUCCCAAUACACUUGUAAUAUUAAUAGGCACAUAAAUCAUCUGACGUUAACAUGUUUCCUCAUUAACUUUUACUUUUUUAAUUAUAAAAUUAGUAAUCAUACAACUUCCCGAAGAGGGAAAUACAGUAAUCCCAAAUCUGACUUGAAAUUAUAAAGUGCAAACUUUCUUAGUUAUGCCCUUCUCUCAGUUAAAAAUAAGUUAAAGCCUUUUGUUACUUUCCACAGGAUAUUGGCAUAGCUAACAUAUGCUCACAAUUGUUCGGCUGAGGUAUGUGUUCUCUAUUGGGUGUGGAGAGAAAAUUUGUAUGUGGCAACAGCAGCCAACAUAUCAGGGUUGAUUUUUCUCCUCAGCAUGACUUUUUUUGGCUAUUUCUGCAAAAGCCUCUUGGAGAAAACACUCAAAUGUAGCAUUUUAUUUGCUCAAACAUUGCUCAUGUGAUGUGAUUUAUUUUGUGGGCAUAUUUAAUCCUUAAACACAAAAAGACCCGUUA